CAAUAGCGUAUAUUAAAGCUGUUGCGGUUAAAAAGCUCGUAGUUGGAUUUCUGUCAAGGACAACUGGUCCGCCCUCCGGGUGAGCACAUAGUUUGGUCUUGGCAUCUUGCUGGAAACUGUUGCUGCACUUGGCUGUGUGGCGCAGCGUCCAGCACUUUCACUUUGAGGAAAUUGGAGUGUUUCAAGCAGGCACAUGCCUUUGGACACAGUAGCAUGGAAUAAUUAGAUUGGGCUUUUGCUCCAAUUUGUCGGUCUCUGGAGCUGAGGUGAGAAUUAAUGGGGAUUGUUGGGGGCAUCCGAAUUUAGCCGUCAGAGGUGAAAUUCUUGGAUCUGCUAAAGACGGACAACUGCGAAAGCGUUUGCCCAGGAUGUUUUCAUUGA
RNAcentral lists this ribosomal RNA (381 nucleotides) under uncultured eukaryote. Its description in RNAcentral is "partial 18S ribosomal RNA". It matches the Rfam family "Eukaryotic small subunit ribosomal RNA", at positions 592 to 976 of the family's 1831-position model. The record is from RNAcentral.